Molecule: small RNA, 68 nt
Filed under: Acididesulfobacillus acetoxydans
Lineage: Bacteria; Bacillati; Bacillota; Clostridia; Eubacteriales; Peptococcaceae
Description: Peptococcaceae bacterium INE non-coding RNA
Source: RNAcentral
GUUUCAAUUCCUCAUAGGCAGGCUAUCGGCGGAUUAAAGAGCUCCUCCCAGAAAUUUACAAGACCGAG